AGUGAACGCUGGCGGUAGGCCUAACACAUGCAAGUCGAACGGCCGCACAGUAAGAGCUUGCUCUUACGGGUGGCGAGUGGCGGACGGGUGAGGCAUACAUCGGAAUCUACUUUUUCGUGGGGGAUUACGUAGGGACACUUACGCUAAUACCGCAUACGACCUACGGGUUAAAGCAGGAGAUCUUCGGAGUUUUCGCGAUUCAUUUAGCCGAUGUCGGAUUAGCUAGUUGGCAGGGUAAAGGCACACCAAGGCGACGAUACGUAGCUGGUCUGAGAGGAUGAUCAGCCACACUGGAACUGAGACACGGUCCAGACUCCUACGGGAGGCAGCAGUGGGGAAUAUUGGACAAAGGGCGCAAGCCUGAUGCAGCCAUACCGCGUGAGUGAAGAAGGCCUUCGGGCUGUAAGACCCUUUUAUUAGGAAAGAACAGCUGCAGAUGAAAAUCCCGCUGUUUUGACGGUACCUAAAGAAUAAGCCCCGGCUAACUUCGUG
Molecule: ribosomal RNA, 492 nt
Filed under: uncultured bacterium
Lineage: Bacteria
Description: partial 16S ribosomal RNA
Rfam family: Bacterial small subunit ribosomal RNA
Source: RNAcentral